This 468-nucleotide ribosomal RNA is filed under the name uncultured bacterium. Its description in RNAcentral is "partial 16S ribosomal RNA". It matches the Rfam family "Bacterial small subunit ribosomal RNA", at positions 28 to 507 of the family's 1533-position model. The record is from RNAcentral.
GACGAACGCUGGCGGCGUGCUUAACACAUGCAAGUCGAACGGAAAGGCCCUGCUUUUGUGGGGUGCUCGAGUGGCGAAAGGGUGAGUAACACGUGAGUAACCUGCCCUUGACUGUGGGAUAACUUCAGGAAACUGGGGCUAAUACCGGAUAGGAGCACCUGCAGCAUGGGGUGGGUUGGAAAGUUUCGGAGGUUGGGGAUGGACUGGCGGUUUAGCAGCGUGUUGGUGGGGUGGUGGCUUACCCAGGCUUCGACGGGUAGCCGACCUGAGAGUGUGACCGGCCACAUGGGGACUGAGAGACGGCCCAGACGGCAACGGGGGGCAGCGGCGGAAAAUAGUGCAAAAAAGGCGGAAGCCUGAUAGAACGGCUCCGGGUGCGGAAAGACUGCCUUCGUGGUAGAAACCGCGUUCGCCUGUGACGAAGCGUGAGUGACGGUAAUUACUAAAGAAGCACCGGCUAACUACGUG